Molecule: non-coding RNA, 26 nt
Filed under: Homo sapiens (human)
Lineage: Eukaryota; Metazoa; Chordata; Mammalia; Primates; Hominidae
Source: RNAcentral
UCCUGGUGUUUGUACCCUGUGUGCUU